Long non-coding RNA from Acanthochromis polyacanthus (spiny chromis), 304 nucleotides. RefSeq lists it as uncharacterized. Lineage: Eukaryota; Metazoa; Chordata; Actinopteri; Pomacentridae. The transcript has 3 exons. The record is from RefSeq and is a predicted model, not a curated record.
CCCCUGCACUCCGUUGUCAGUGUUUAUAAGGGAGCGAGCCUCCUCCUUAGCACCACAGUGUCUGGGACUGGCUGAGAACAGGAGCGUGGAAUCCUUCAAUAUGAAACUCUUACUGGUGUUAGCGUGCUUCCUGGUAGCCCGCCUGGCAAGUCCUCACCCAUGCUAUACUCCUCCUCUACUCACUGGAGCUCUCACUACAUCCACACAGAAUGAGGAGCUGUGGGCUUACGCUAGAUACCUGUACGAUGGAAUGGGGACAGCGGCUUCGGCUCUUUGAGCUGGUUGAUUACAAAAUAAGACAAUG